Passer montanus (Eurasian tree sparrow) is the source of this 309-nucleotide long non-coding RNA. RefSeq lists it as uncharacterized. The transcript is spliced from 3 exons. NCBI's taxonomy places the organism in Eukaryota, Metazoa, Chordata, Aves, Passeriformes, Passeridae. The record is from RefSeq and is a predicted model, not a curated record.
CUGUGAAAAAUAGAAAAAAUGCCAUAACAUUUUUCUCCAGAAUGGAUAAUAUGGGAAUUAGCUUCCUUUUUCAUUCUGAUGUAAGGUAAAAAAAAAACCAACCCAGGCUUUCAGUCAAAUUCUCAUCUACUUGUUCUUUUCUACUUUCCUGCAUCUUUGGACCACAAAAGUGGAACAAGGAGUCCUUUGGGAAGACAAGAGGACUUGUCUGUAAAGGAGUUCUAAUGAUGAGCAGACUCAUUUACUGCAACAGAACUGGUUCUAUUCUUACCGAUAUUAGAGAAAGGCAUGCAAGGAUUGCCUUCUUUU